RNAcentral lists this ribosomal RNA (144 nucleotides) under uncultured Flavobacteriaceae bacterium. Its description in RNAcentral is "partial 16S ribosomal RNA". It matches the Rfam family "Bacterial small subunit ribosomal RNA", at positions 338 to 479 of the family's 1533-position model. The record is from RNAcentral. Lineage: Bacteria; Pseudomonadati; Bacteroidota; Flavobacteriia; Flavobacteriales; Flavobacteriaceae.
CCUACGGGAGGCAGCAGUGAGGAAUAUUGGUCAAUGGUCGCAAGACUGAACCAGCCAUGCCGCGUGCAGGGAGACGGUCCUAUGGAUUGUAAACUGCUUUUAUACAGGAAGAAACCCUCCCACGUGUGGGAGCUUGACGGUACU